RNAcentral lists this transfer RNA (65 nucleotides) under Berghia stephanieae. RNAcentral describes it as "tRNA-Phe". It matches the Rfam family "tRNA". From Rfam's summary of the family: Transfer RNA (tRNA) molecules are approximately 80 nucleotides in length. The record is from RNAcentral. Lineage: Eukaryota; Metazoa; Mollusca; Gastropoda; Nudibranchia; Aeolidiidae.
GAACAAAUAGCUUAAAUUUAAAGCGUAACACUGAAGAUGUUAUUAUAGAUUAAUUCUUUUGUUCC